This 433-nucleotide ribosomal RNA is filed under the name uncultured bacterium. RNAcentral's name for it is "partial 16S ribosomal RNA". It matches the Rfam family "Bacterial small subunit ribosomal RNA", at positions 29 to 507 of the family's 1533-position model. The record is from RNAcentral.
AACGAACGCUGGCGGCAGGCCUAACACAUGCAAGUCGAGCGAGGACUUCGGUCCUAGCGGCGGACGGGUGAGUAACGCGUGGGAACGUGCCCUUUGCUUCGGAAUAGCCCUGGGAAACUGGGAGUAAUACCGGAUGAGCCCUUUGGGGGAAAGAUUUAUCGUCGAAGGAUCGGCCCGCGUUGGAUUAGGUAGUUGGUGGGGUAAUGGCCUACCACGCCGACGAUCCAUAGCUGGUUUGAGAGGAUGAUCAGCCACACUGGGACUGAGACACGGCCCAGACUCCUACGGGAGGCAGCAGUGGGGAAUCUUAGACAAUGGGGGAAACCCUGAUCUAGCCAUGCCGCGUGAGCGAUGAAGGCCUUAGGGUUGUAAAGCUCUUUCAGCUGGGAAGAUAAUGACGGUACCAGCAGAAGAAGCCCCGGCUAACUCCGUG